GAUGAAGAACGCAGCGAAAUGCGAUAAGUAAUGUGAAUUGCAGAAUUCAGUGAAUCAUCGAAUCUUUGAACGCACAUUGCGCCCCCUGGUAUUCCGGGGGGCAUGCCUGUUCGAGCGUCAUUUCACCACUCAAGCCUCGCUUGGUAUUGGGCAUCGCGGUCCGCCGCGCGCCUCAAAUCGACCGGCUGGGUCUUCUGUCCCCUAAGCGUUGUGGAAACUAUUCGCUAAAGGGUGUUCGGGAGGCUACGCCGUAAAACAACCCCAUUUCUAAGGUUGACCUCGGAUCAGGUAGGGAUACCCGCUGAACUUAAGCAUAUCAAUAAGCGGAGGGA
RNAcentral lists this unclassified non-coding RNA (332 nucleotides) under soil metagenome. RNAcentral describes it as "partial contains 5.8S ribosomal RNA, internal transcribed spacer 2, and large subunit ribosomal RNA". The stretch from base 1 to 120 matches the Rfam family "5.8S ribosomal RNA", at positions 35 to 154 of the family's 154-position model. The record is from RNAcentral.